UGUAGAAGGAAGGGCUGCUGUG
Molecule: microRNA, 22 nt
Filed under: Mus musculus (house mouse)
Lineage: Eukaryota; Metazoa; Chordata; Mammalia; Rodentia; Muridae
Description: mmu-miR-7038-5p
Source: miRBase by way of RNAcentral